UUGCCUGGCUCAAAGGGAAACCUCUGUCCCUGAACAUUGUGAUAGCUAUUUCUCAUAUUGGGGCUACCAGAGGAAUGAACAGAAACAGAAUUCAACGAUGAGGCUUGGGGCAAGUUGUCUUCAGCAUAAGUUGCUUUAUGACUCUCACUGUUGUAUGUCAAGUUGGGACUCCCGGAAGGAAUUUCAGUACCAUGAAUAUUUAAACCAGUCCACUGCUCCGGUAGACCAACAUCACUGCUAGAAGUUUCUGCAACAGCAGACUGCAUGAGAGCACUCCAAGUACCACCUUGGAUAGAUGGAGUUCCAUCAAGCAAUUCAGCACCAUCAAAAGG
This 332-nucleotide unclassified non-coding RNA is filed under the name Hevea brasiliensis (rubber tree). The record is from RNAcentral. Lineage: Eukaryota; Viridiplantae; Streptophyta; Magnoliopsida; Malpighiales; Euphorbiaceae.